RNAcentral lists this ribosomal RNA (560 nucleotides) under uncultured bacterium. RNAcentral describes it as "bacterial SSU rRNA". It matches the Rfam family "Bacterial small subunit ribosomal RNA", at positions 338 to 916 of the family's 1533-position model. The record is from RNAcentral.
CCUACGGGAGGCAGCAGUGGGGAAUCUUGCGCAAUGGGCGAAAGCCUGACGCAGCCAUGCCGCGUGGAUGAUGAAGGUCUUAGGGAUUGUAAAAUCCUUUCACCGGUGAAGAUAAUGACUGUAGCCGGAGAAGAAGCCCCGGCUAACUUCGUGCCAGCAGCCGCGGUAAUACGAAGGGGGCUAGCGUUGCUCGGAAUUACUGGGCGUAAAGGGAGCGUAGGCGGACAUUUAAGUCAGAGGUGAAAUCCCGGAGCGUUAACUUCGGAACUGCCUUUGAUACUGGGUGUCUUGAGUGUGAGAGAGGUAUGUGGAACUCCGAGUGUAGAGGUGAAAUUCGUAGAUAUUCGGAAGAACACCAGUGGCGAAGGCGACAUACUGGCUCAUUACUGACGCUGAGGCUCGAAAGCGUGGGGAGCAAACAGGAUUAGAUACCCUGGUAGUCCACGCCGUAAACGAUGAUUGCUAGUUGUCGGGAAGCUUGCUUCUCGGUGACGCAGCUAACGCAUUAAGCAAUCCGCCUGGGGAGUACGGUGCAAGAUUAAAACUCAAAGGAUUGACGG